RNAcentral lists this non-coding RNA (96 nucleotides) under marine eukaryotic metagenome. Its description in RNAcentral is "Pyrrolysine insertion sequence mttB". It matches the Rfam family "Pyrrolysine insertion sequence mttB". The record is from RNAcentral.
GCGGAUGCCAAGUUGCCAGAUAUGCAAGCAGGUUGGGAACAGGCAACAUCAAGUGUAAUGGCAGGUCUUGCAGGCCUUAACAUGGUGUAUGAGGCC